GACGAACGCUGGCGGCGUGCUUAACACAUGCAAGUCGAACGGAAAGGCCCUGCUUUUGUGGGGUGCUCGAGUGGCGAACGGGUGAGUAACACGUGAGUAACCUGCCCUUGACUUUGGGAUAACUUCAGGAAACUGGGGCUAAUACAGCAUAGGAGCUCCUGCUGCAUGGUGGGGGUUGGAAAGUUUCGGCGGUUGGGGCUGGACUCGCGGCUUAGCGGCUGGUUGGUGGGGUAGGGGAUUACCAAGGGUUUGACGGGUAGCCGGCCUGGGAGGGGGACCGGGGUCAUGGGGACUACGAGACGGAGCAGUAGCGAACGGGAGGCAACGGGGGGGAAUAUGGCAGAAUGGGCGGAAGCCUGAUGCAGCAGCGCCGGGUGCGGGAUGAUGGCUUUCGGGUGGUAAACAGCUUUCGCCGGUAACGAGGCGGGAGUGACGGUAAUGGGUAAAAAAGCACCGGCUAACUACGUG
Molecule: ribosomal RNA, 468 nt
Filed under: uncultured bacterium
Lineage: Bacteria
Description: partial 16S ribosomal RNA
Rfam family: Bacterial small subunit ribosomal RNA
Source: RNAcentral